Apteryx owenii (little spotted kiwi) is the source of this 162-nucleotide unclassified non-coding RNA. Lineage: Eukaryota; Metazoa; Chordata; Aves; Apterygiformes; Apterygidae. The record is from Ensembl.
UCAACAGCUCUAGCGGUUGAAGUUCUCUCUGUUCCAAGCACAGACAUAAAUACAGGCAGCAGCAAUGCAAGCUUCCCCACAGUGCUCUGUCAGUACGCCUCAGCCUCGUUACGGGACAAGGAGGCAGGUUGCCUGCCAUGCCCCGUUCGGUCAUCGACCUUU